AUUGAACGCUGGCGGCAUGCUUUACACAUGCAAGUCGAACGGUAACAGGCCUUCGGGUGCUGACGAGUGGCGAACGGGUGAGUAAUGCAUCGGAACGUACCCAGAGGUGGGGGAUAAUGCAGCGAAAGCUGUGCUAAUACCGCAUGUGAUCUGAGGAUGAAAGCGGGGGACCGAGCAGCAAUGUUUGGCCUCGCGCCUUUGGAGCGGCCGAUGUCGGAUUAGCUAGUUGGUGGGGUAAAGGCCUACCAAGGCGACGAUCCGUAGCUGGUCUGAGAGGACGACCAGCCACACUGGGACUGAGACACGGCCCAGACUCCUACGGGAGGCAGCAGUGGGGAAUUUUGGACAAUGGGCGCAAGCCUGAUCCAGCAAUGCCGCGUGCGGGAAGAAGGCCUUCGGGUUGUAAACCGCUUUUGGCAGGAACGAAACGGUGUCCGCUAAUACCGGGCGCUAAUGACGGUACCUGCAGAAUAAGCACCGGCUAACUACGUG
RNAcentral lists this ribosomal RNA (492 nucleotides) under uncultured bacterium. Its description in RNAcentral is "partial 16S ribosomal RNA". It matches the Rfam family "Bacterial small subunit ribosomal RNA", at positions 30 to 507 of the family's 1533-position model. The record is from RNAcentral.